CAUCGGCACUGCCAACCGGUGGGGUGCAGCCCUGCUGAAGCCCCAGAGCUCAGCCCAGUGCUGGGCACAUAGUAGGCGCUCAGGAAAUGAUUGCUGAAUGUGGAAUGAAAGUCCCCAGCAGGCAAAAGGCUGUGACUUCUGUUAGUGGGGUGGUGGUCCUCUGGGGCGAGUGUAUGGAGAACUUCAAGGCCUCCUCCUGGCUGCCCAGGAAGUAGUGUCUUCUUUUGCAAGCUGGGGGAGGGGUUUAAAGAUGCUGGCGCUGCCCUCUAGCCGGCUGCUGGGGACAUCAAAGGAGAUUCGGGCUGUGGAAGGCUCCCUAGCGUCGGAGAUGGAGUUAGGAGAGGGCGCCAAAGGCGACGUGCCGGCCGCCAGCUCCAGGCCGAGCCCCGAGCGCCUGCAGGAACACGCCCCUUCACCCGGCGCGGGACGCAGAGCUGCGAGAGAAUCUUGUUCAGCGCGGACUCAACGCCAGGGCGCCGCCUAGAGGUUGGUCUCUGUCUCGGCCUCACCCGCCGGGAGACCACAGAGCUGCUUCCCCAGCCGCCCGCCGCCAGAAAUUGGAAAAAAAAAAAAAAAAAAAAAAAAAAUCCAGCUGGGGUCUAGGAACUCGGCUUCUGGCACCUCUGAAUUCUCCGAGACUGUCUCCUCCCUCCCCGCCUGUAAUGAACCCUGUGAAGGGAGACAGGCCAGGAAGUCCCAGAAAUAUUUAUUCUUGUGACUCUCACAAAAUGGA
Molecule: long non-coding RNA, 733 nt
Filed under: Homo sapiens (human)
Lineage: Eukaryota; Metazoa; Chordata; Mammalia; Primates; Hominidae
Description: HSALNT0390437
Source: RNAcentral